UCAUAUAUCUUUAUUACUCAUUGCCCUUCUGUCCAGCUUCUGCCACGUCGCUUCUUCAUCCACCGUUGAUCUUGUGCCACUUCUCCCUCUCCAUUCUUCACCUCCACUGCUUCCCUUCCUCUUUGUUCUUUUGCGGGUUUCUCAGAACUCCUGAUGAGUUCCUCCCUCUUUCUUCACCCUUUCUCUUUCCUAUGUGAAUGUCGAACAUCGGUACUCUCUCCUCUUCAUUUUCUUCCAUUUUUUAUCUCCACCUACUUUCCAGAUUAUCUUGUCUUUCUACGGAUGUGAAGAUCAGAAAUUGAAAAAAAGAAUGUGCUAUGGAUUGCGAUGCCGGAUUUUUCUCUCCUCCUUCAGCUUGCAAUCAACACUCUCACUUCGUCUUCUUUCUCCCUGGUAUAAUUCUAUCUUCUCUGGUUUUGUUACAUUAGGGUUCUAUUUUUGCUUGUAAUUGCUGAAUUAGGGUUUUUAAUUGAAUUGGCAAAUUAAUUUAGCGUUUUUGUUGCAUAAAUAUGUUAAUUUUAUGAUUAAAUCGGAUCAUUUUGAUUUCAAUUGAUUCCACUUUUGUUCAAUUUUCUUCAUCUUUGAUUUUCAGUUGCCUUUUUUCUAUUUUUGAUUAUAGCUGGCUUUUCGCAAAAAUUCUUGAGCUAGAGUGGUAUAUUAACCUCAUGGAACAAAUAAUUUUACGUGAUCAUUUAAGGAGAUCGGAAAAAUCCCUGUAUUUUUCAUCCUUUCAAUAAGCCAUAUGUUGUCAGACAUCUAGGAAUAUGAUACAGUUGAUGAGAUUUUAGAUAUUUUUGUUGGCAGGCUAGAAGAGAAAAGAUCAGUGAGAGGAUGAGAAUAUUACAGGAUCUUGUCCCUGGGUGUAAUAAGGUCAUUGGCAAGGCACUGGUACUUGACGAGAUCAUAAAUUAUAUCCAAUCAUUACAGCGUCAAGUUGAGUUUCUUUCAAUGAAAUUAGAAGCUGUCAAUACGAGAACCAGCCCUGGUAUUGAAGGAUUUCCGUCAAAAGAUCACAAAAUAUUUCCGUGGAUGCGUAGGAGAUGAACAAUCUUGCAAUUCCAGAACCAAGGGCUUUUCCAUGUAUUGCUUCAGUCUUGAAGUGAAAGGCCAUUGGAUGUUACCCAUGCUCAUGCUUUUGUUCAGGCCGGAUGUUCAUCUGCCCAGCUUUCAAGUAUAUUACCGCCUGGGGACCGCCUUAUCAGGAGAGAUGUGAAAAAUGAAGGGAGAUAAAUC
Long non-coding RNA from Spinacia oleracea (spinach), 1233 nucleotides. RefSeq lists it as uncharacterized. The record is from RefSeq and is a predicted model, not a curated record. NCBI's taxonomy places the organism in Eukaryota, Viridiplantae, Streptophyta, Magnoliopsida, Caryophyllales, Amaranthaceae. The transcript has 7 exons.